Molecule: ribosomal RNA, 404 nt
Filed under: uncultured bacterium
Lineage: Bacteria
Description: bacterial SSU rRNA
Rfam family: Bacterial small subunit ribosomal RNA
Source: RNAcentral
UGGGGAAUAUUGGACAAUGGACGAAAGUCUGAUCCAGCAAUACCGCGUGAAUGAUGAAGGCCUUAGGGUUGUAAAGUUCUUUUAGUAGGGAAGAUAAUGACGGUACCUACAGAAAAAGCCCCGGCUAACUCCGUGCCAGCAGCCGCGGUAAGACGGAGGGGGCUAGCGUUGUUCGGAAUUACUGGGCGUAAAGAGCGCGUAGGCGGCUUUGCAAGUUGGAAGUGAAAGCCCGGGGCUUAACCUCGGAAUUGCUUUCAAAACUGUGGAGCUAGAGUGUAGUAGGGGAUGAUGGAAUUCCUAGUGUAGAGGUGAAAUUCUUAGAUAUUAGGAGGAACACCGGUGGCGAAGGCGGUCAUCUGGGCUACAACUGACGCUGAGGUGCGAAAGCGUGGGGAGCAAACAGG